This 554-nucleotide ribosomal RNA is filed under the name uncultured fungus. Its description in RNAcentral is "eukaryotic LSU rRNA". The stretch from base 197 to 350 matches the Rfam family "5.8S ribosomal RNA". Lineage: Eukaryota; Fungi. The record is from RNAcentral.
CUCCGUAGGUGAACCUGCGGAGGGAUCAUUACACAAAUAUGAAGGCGGGCUGGAACCUCUCGGGGUUACAGCCUUGCUGAAUUAUUCACCCUUGUCUUUUGCGUACUUCUUGUUUCCUUGGUGGGUUCGCCCACCACUAGGACAAACAUAAACCUUUUGUAAUUGCAAUCAGCGUCAGUAGCAAAUUAAUAAUUACAACUUUCAACAACGGAUCUCUUGGUUCUGGCAUCGAUGAAGAACGCAGCGAAAUGCGAUAAGUAGUGUGAAUUGCAGAAUUCAGUGAAUCAUCGAAUCUUUGAACGCACAUUGCGCCCUUUGGUAUUCCAAAGGGCAUGCCUGUUCGAGCGUCAUUUGUACCCUCAAGCUUUGCUUGGUGUUGGGCGUCUUGUCUCUAGCUUUGCUGGAGACUCGCCUUAAAGUAAUUGGCAGCCGGCCUACUGGUUUCGGAGCGCAGCACAAGUCGCACUCUCUAUCAGCAAAGGUCUAGCAUCCAUUAAGCCUUUUUUUCAACUUUUGACCUCGGAUCAGGUAGGGAUACCCGCUGAACUUAAGCA